Molecule: long non-coding RNA, 194 nt
Organism: Alligator sinensis (Chinese alligator)
Lineage: Eukaryota; Metazoa; Chordata; Crocodylia; Alligatoridae
Exons: 3
Source: RefSeq, a predicted model, not a curated record
CCAAAUCCUGGGACAAAGGAAGUGACAAGCCUGUUCCCCAAGCGACUGAUUGACGACUUCUCCAGUGAAGAUCCAUGCACAGAUUAACUCUUCCAUGUUCUGUCCUCGUUGCUUGGCAGGAAAGUGGAGUAGAAUUUCCUGUUAAGAAGCUGGAACUAUGAGACUGUUGGCUGAAAAGACAAAAGCCUAAACCU